CCGGCGCACGGGUGAGUAACACGUAUCCAACCUGCCGUCUACUCUUGGCCAGCCUUCUGAAGGAAGAUUAAUCCAGGAUGGGAUCAUGAGUUCACAUGUCCGCAUGAUUAAAGGUAUUUUCCGGUAGACGAUGGGGAUGCGUUCCAUUAGAUAGUAGGCGGGGUAACGGCCCACCUAGUCAACGAUGGAUAGGGGUUCUGAGAGGAAGGUCCCCCACAUUGGAACUGAGACACGGUCCAA
Molecule: ribosomal RNA, 240 nt
Filed under: uncultured bacterium
Lineage: Bacteria
Description: partial 16S ribosomal RNA
Rfam family: Bacterial small subunit ribosomal RNA
Source: RNAcentral